Coprinopsis marcescibilis is the source of this 106-nucleotide non-coding RNA. The record is from the annotation of a GenBank genome assembly. NCBI's taxonomy places the organism in Eukaryota, Fungi, Basidiomycota, Agaricomycetes, Agaricales, Psathyrellaceae.
UCCUCCUUAGCUCAGUUGGUAGAGCGCGUCACUUGUAAUCAAAUUGGACUUCGCGGUGUUUGAUGUGAUCAUGACGAGGUCAGUCGUUCGAGUCGGCUAGGUGGAA